This 77-nucleotide transfer RNA is filed under the name Camelus bactrianus (Bactrian camel). It matches the Rfam family "tRNA". Rfam says of the family: Transfer RNA (tRNA) molecules are approximately 80 nucleotides in length. Lineage: Eukaryota; Metazoa; Chordata; Mammalia; Artiodactyla; Camelidae. The record is from Rfam by way of RNAcentral. RNAcentral also lists the same sequence under 2 other names.
GAGGGUACAGCUCAGUGGUAGAGCGCAUGCUUAGCACAUGCUAACCCAGAUCCUGGGUUCAAUCCCUAGUACCUCCA